AUGUCUCGGGAAAGGCCCCCACGCACCGACAUCCCCCGCAACCUCAGUUUUAUCGCGGCGCUGACAGAACGAGCCUACUACCGAAGCCAGCGGCCCAGUCUGGAGGAGGAGCCGCAGCCGGAGGAGGAGGAGCCGGAGCCCCGGGAGGGGGGCGGGGCGCGCCUCCGGCCUCGUUCCCGAGUCCUAGCCGCUGUGCGGGGCCGUCGGGCCCGCUCAGCUCCCGCUGGAGGCGGUGCCCGGGCUCCGCGCAGCCGCAGCCCGGACACCCGCAAGCGAGUGCGCUUCGCCGACGCUUUGGGGCUGGAGCUGGCGGCAGUCCGCCGCUUCAGUCCCGGGGAAUUGCCCCGCGUGCCCCGCCACGUGCAAGUCCAGCUGCAGCGCGACGCCCUCAGGCACUUUGGGCCUUGCCCACCCCGCACCCGCAGCCUCCAGGAGGCGCGCGCUGCCCUCGAGCCCGCCCGCGAGCCCGGCUUCGCCGCCCGCCUGCAGGCUCAGCGCAUAUGCCUAGAGCGAGCAGAGGCGGGCCCGCUGGGCGUGGCUGGGAGCGCGCGCGUGCUGGACCUGGCCUACGAGAAGCGCGUGAGCGUGCGCUGGAGCGCGGACGGUUGGCGCAGCCAGCGCGAGGCUCCCGCCACCUACGCAGGCCCGGCUCCGCCCCCUCCGCGUGCGGAUCGAUUCGCCUUCCGCUUGCCUGCCCCACCAAGCGGGGGUUCCUUGCUCUUCGCCCUUCGCUACCGCGUAACAGGCCUUGAGUUCUGGGACAACAACGGCGGCCGCGACUACGUUCUGCGUGGGGCUGACUCCCCCAGCAGUGGUAGCAGUAGCGACUCGGAACCCCAGGGCUGGAUCCACUUUAUCUGAGCGUGGAACGGGGAACCCAGGGAUCAGGGGAAAGUGCGGAAAACGGCGGGAGAAACCAAAGGAACACGGGGUCGGGGGGAGCCGAGGAUGCGGCAAAGGAAUGAAGAGCUUCCUUGCUGUUCUCCCAGACUGAGCCAUUUGCCCUCUUCUGGCCUCAGAUUCCCUCUUGGAAGUCUUCCAGAGGAGAGGUGGGAAGAAGGCAAACAGCAGUUUCUUCUUGGUGACCCAGAUGAACUUUGUUUCCCCAGGUAAUCAGUUUUUUCCCUCUCCACUUUCUUUGGGUUCUUUGAAUUGGGGGGAAUUUAUUGACUCUUAUCUCUUCUAGCCUUCUAUAUUAGAAAGGAGGGAUUAGGAAUUCUGAUCAGAUUAGAGACUAUCAUAACUCUUUUGGUCUCUAGCCAAACCCUAUACCCCUGAGUAGAGUUCAAAGAAAUAACAUACUUAAAGAAACUCAAUACAUACAGCCACCUCCAAUUAACAAUACAAUAUAACAGAUCAGUGAAAAACACUAUAUAGGGGAGUGGGGGACAGAAAAGGGGAAAAGACAUAGUCAAUAAGGGUUAGACACAUUUGAAGCAAUUUCUCAUAUUCUAUGGUCUCAGGUUCUGAUUUCCCGAAUUGCUGCUCUUUUGUAUUGUCUCCACAAAUUUGGCUUGAAGAGGUUGAAGGAUUGGUGGAGGAAGGGAAGUUAUGAUGGUACCAUACCUCAUGAACCUCAGCUCCUACUUCCUCUCAAUCAUGAUUAAUAAGGCUUGUAUAAUGUUAGCAAGUGUGUUGCUGGUAUGUAUAAGAGAUCCCAGGUCCCUGCCUUGAUGCCUAUAUUCCAAUAUCAACCUCCCUAACUUCCCAGGAAAGGUUCCUCCAACCCCCUGCCUGGAAGUCUCUAGACUUCUGUCUCUCCAAGGCCUUAAUUUUGCAAGGGUUUGCAAGUUUCCAAGGAAUAUUCCUAUAAAUACACCAAGUAUUUUUCUUUGUGGUUGGGUCAGAAGCUGUGCCUAUGGAAAGUUGAAGGAGAGGGCAGCUACUAGAAGCUUAAGGCCCCUUUGGAAAUCUUACUGCAGAUGAAUGGGUAAGGUCCUGAGCUCUCUCUUACAAGCAAUUUCAACUCUAGCUCAAGUGCUGUGAAACUCAGUGACAGUCUCAUUGUGCCUGUCAGUGACCCAUAUCAUUUAGAAUCCUAGGAAUUUGAGUAGUUUAUCUCCCAUGCCUCCUUAAAACACACAACCACAAUACAAGUAGUCAUAAGCGGAAUUGAUGACUUGGUGUUUCACCUUACUAGACUAGUCUAACAUUUGUAUGUGUCCUAUUCAUUUUUGAAAAGAGCAUGACGUGGACCCCAGUGCUUUGAAGCUCUCUGGGGGAGCUCCCUAUGUAGAGGUCACCUCUGGGUAAUGCUGUUCUCAGCCUGACCACUGUUCCUAGAUCAAACUCAUUUUCUCCUCCCCAAAAUCCAACACACACACACACACACACACACCCACCCUCCCCCACUUCCCUACAAUACACAUCCCUUAAAGGAGCACCAGGGAUUCUAUAUCUACUUCUGCCAACCAGAAAAUGUUUAUAAUGUAUACAUGUGCCUCCCACACACACACUUUACAAAGCUUUCCUUCCUACCUCAUCUUUAACAAAAUGACAGCCUGACUAUACCCAAAGAGAAGCUAACUUACCUUUCUCUGGGCUAGCCCAAACUAUCUUGAGAUAGAAGAUAUUUCAGUGAAGAGGAAAAAAGAAGGUAGCUGGGGCUAAGUUAUUUCUCUAAACAUUAAUAAUAUGCUAACUAUUAAAUAAAAAAUGCCAAGCAACAGAAAUUACUACCAUGUGAGUGAAAGGGCAUACAUUCACCCUUGAAUAAGAGGCUAUAAUCUUGGGGGAAAGAAAUAUGAGAUGGUUGGAAAGGGGGUUCUCCGUAUAAUUGAACUCUGUCGCUUAAAUUGUAAUCCAACCUAUCUGGACUCCAUUUUACCCCUGAGUUAUAAAUUUUGCCUUUCCAUGCCACCCUCACAAGAGGCAGUAAUAUCCAUUAUCACUGGUUCACAGAAUCAAAGUGUGUUAAAGCUAAAAGUAACUGAGAAUAUCUAGUCCUACAGACAUGGGUCUAGAUAUUUAGUAACUAACCUACUCAUGGUCACUCAGAUAAGCUAAUGAGCUAUAACCUGAAUCCUCUGACUCCCAAUUCUAUAAUCUUCAUAUGUCACUCCCUAGGACUAGAGUAAAAAGGACUUUCUCCUGAAAAUGCCACCAAAAAUACUUUCUCAUUCAACAGACCAUUAGCUUUUCAGCAAAAAUAAAGUAAAUCAGACAUGUCUCUCAAAACCCCUUCUUUAAUCAACAGUUUUCAACAUUUCCUUCCUACGGCUUCUAACAUUUCAGGUUAGUUCAACAAACUAUUAAGCAUCAGAAAUGUGCAGGGGGGAAAUUCAGAUGAUAUAGGGUCCCUCCUAGCACAUAUGGAAUUUAGUCUGGAGUAUGAUACAGAAAAUCCUGUGAAUCAUUAGAGAGAUGUGCAGCUUGGAAUGUGAGGGAAGUUAAUUGCCACCUGAGAUUGGGGGGACCUGAGAAGGCUUUCUGAAGGAGGUGGCAUUUCAUUGGGCUUUAGGGGAUACAUAGGAAUUCAGUGGGUAUAAAGGAUCAUGGGAUUGGAAAAGAAUGACAGGGAACUGAGAAUAAAGGUCUCCUGAUAGUUGAGUAUGGGAGAUAGCAAACAAGCAACCCACUUUGCCUGGAAUAUAACAUGUAGAGGGAGAAGUUAAGCAAGAAGGAAGCCUUUGGACAAUUCUGAACAGAAAAUGGCAUGACUAGAUCAAUGCAUAAUGAAGAUGUAUCUGGCUAUGGGGGGCAGAAAGACCUGUUAAAAUUUUAUGAAGGCAGGUGAUGCUACAGAAGUAGAAUUAUUGGUAAUUGAUGAGCUGUGAGGGGUGAGGGAGAAGAGUUGUAAAAAAAUAUCCAAAUUUUUGAACAGGGACAAAUGGUGGCAGAAAGAGUUGUCAGAAGGAGUGAAUUUUGAUGGAAAGACUUUUGGAACAUGUGAAAUUUGGGCACAGUGGACAGAGAAGUGAGUUUGCACUUGAUGCCUCAAUCUCAGGAGGGUCAGGGCUGGGAACAGAUCUGGAAUUCUUUUAUGUAAAGAUAAUGGUUUAAAUAUUAGGAAGGAGAGAGACAAUUGCAAAGGGAAGGAGUAGCCAGGUAGCACAGUGUAUAGAAUGCCAGGCUAGGAGUUGAGAGAAUUUGGGUUCAUGUGGCCUCAGAUACUUAAUAGGUGUGUGGCCCUGGGCAAGUCACUUUCAAUUGCUUAGCCAUUGCCACUCUUCUGUCAUAGAACUGAUAUUAGUAAGACAGAAGAAGGUUUAAAAAAAUAAUUGUAAAGAGAGGCAGUGUAACAGAGAACACUGAGAAUCACUUCCCUUAAGGUGUCAGGAUGGAGAGAAAUGGAUCUUUCCCACUGAAAUUCUGUAAUUAAGUAAGCCAUUAGAGAGGAGGAGAAUCAGGAUACUGUGCUGUCUUUAAACAAGCCAAAAAAAAAGGUAUCCAGGUGGGUAGGGCAGCAGCCUGGAGAAGUCAAGGAGUAUGAAGGUUCUCACAAUAGAAAAUAAGAUAAACUGAGGUAAUCAAGUUCUAAACAUGUUCCCUUUAUUAGCAAAGCUAGUUGCCAACAAAAGAGGUCAAUGGCUCUCCAGUAGCCAAAGAUCCCCUCAGUUAAGGAAAAUAGGAUCUUUUAUAGUGAUUAACAAGAUGACAACAAAAUGUGGAGCAAUAUAGGUAUGCCUUCUGAUUGGCUAGACUUUUCCAUGAGGAGGUAAGAUGAGUAACCUCAGCUCUUCCAGACCCUCACAUCGAUAAGGGAGGAAAUGAGUACUUAGGUGAUGACACAAAUUUGUAGGUGAUGGGAGUUGCUACUGCAGUUUAGAUUGCUGAAGUUGACCUUUAGGCAAGUUCUCUGCAAUGAGGGUGGGGAGUGAAGUUACUAGAGUGGGGAUACAAGCCUUGACUUGCCCAAUUCCCCGGGGGUUACCCCAGUACACUUAUCAGAGGUAAGGGAUUUAGUCUCACACAGUCGAGGAAAAUAUUAAAUCUAUAUUGGCUUGAUUAAGUCUUAACAAUUAUAGAAUUAAAAAUCAAUUUUAAAUUUCCCAUGACUAAAAAAUGGCAAUUUGGUCUGGCAUUACGGAAGUCAUUGGUAACCUCUGACAGACCAUUUUCAGUUGAGUUGUGUGGGAUAUAAAGACACAAAAGGGCUGAGGGCAAAUGGUUUGUAUGGAAAUACAUCAGAUAUAAAUAAUAUUUUGAUAAAGAUUGGUAGUGAACCAGAGGAAUGCCUUUAGAGAGGAUUUAAGGAAAAAUUUUUAAAUAUCACAGAAUGAGAAGACUAUUAUAAUGAAUUAUAAGGAUGUUUUUUCAUCUGGAUUGGUAGGAGUUGCCAAGAGGAAUAAAAUCAUAGAUCCACCAGAAUAUUGGCAGUGAAAGAAAAGAGGUCCAAGGAGUUGAUAGUUGGAUUUAGUAGAAGAGUUAAGGAACAAAAGGUUUGAGGGAAAAGGCUGAAGAUGGACAUGAUUUUAGUCUCACGAAAGAAGCAGUGACCUACCUCUAAGAGUCCUGAGAAUCAAAUGAAAUAAUAUUUGUAAAGUACUUAGCACUAUGCAUGGUACAUAGUAGGUGCUAUAGAAUUAUUUAUAACUUUGCCCCUCUGAACCCUAUUAUUAUAUUAUUAGGGUUUUAGUUUAAUUUGAAGAAAGGUGCAGGAGUGGUUCGAUUAUGCCAUUUUUCUUGAACCAUUACUAAUAACUAUUAUCAAGAUAAAAGAGCAAAGGCUAGGUAGAUGAUGUUAGAUGACUUGCCUAGAUUCAUUAAGCUAGGAAGUGCCUGAAGCCAAAUUUGAACCACCCUCCCCACCACCCCCAAAGGAACAAUGGAGAUAAAGGUUGAAGGGAUAUUUGUGUUAGGGUACAGGGUUGGUACAAUUAUUGUUAUAAAGCCCUGGAAGAAGCUGGGAUAAUACAAGAAAUGGGGAUGAAGGAUCAAGGGCAGCUAAAAAGAUCAGCCUUUGCAGGUAGUUAGGGAUACUAGAGAUUUCCUAUGAAUGGGAGAUGAGUCCAUUCAACAAAUGGAAUCCCUUUGGAUGACCUCCUUUCUCUCAGUGAAGCAAGAGACUGUUAUCUGCUUUAAAAGAUCUGAUGGUCUGAGAAGAAGAAAAAGUUUAGAACAUCCACAAUUGCACAUUAGAUAAUUGUUAAGAAGCAGUCAUAUGAACUGAUGAAUUUUUCCUCUGCCCCCAGCCCGUAGCCUCCAUUUUAGUGGAGAUGAUAAUGAGCAGUGAAGUUGCCAGAAGACUCUGAAUCCACCAGAUUCUAUCAGCAGCAUAUGGGAGGACAUAUAAAUCGACUGAAUGUACACUUGCAUCCUCACCAUGCCCUCACAACCAAUAAAAUUGUGUACCUUCA
This is an RNA transcript of Monodelphis domestica (gray short-tailed opossum), 6299 nucleotides long. It is a transcript of the gene named protein phosphatase 1 regulatory subunit 3E, with no coding region annotated. Lineage: Eukaryota; Metazoa; Chordata; Mammalia; Didelphimorphia; Didelphidae. The record is from RefSeq and is a predicted model, not a curated record.